GACGAACGCUGGCGGCGUGCUUAACACAUGCAAGUCGAACGGAAAGGCCCUGCUUGUGGGGGGUGCUCGAGUGGCAAACGGGAGAGUAACGCGGGAGUAACCUGCCCUAGACUGGGGGAUGACUUCGAGAAACUGGGGCUAAUAGCGGAUGGGAACUCCUGCUGGAUGGUGGGGGUUGGAAAGUUUGGGCGGGUGGGGAUGGACGCGCGGCUUAUCAGCUUGUUGGUGGGGUAGUGGCUUACCAAGGCUUUGACGGGUAGCCGGCCUGAGAGGGUGACCGGCCACAUUGGGACUGAGAUACGGCCCAGACUCCUACGGGAGGCAGCAGUGGGGAAUAUUGCACAAUGGGCGGAAGCCUGAUGCAGCAACGCCGCGUGCGGGAUGACGGCCUUCGGGUUGUAAACCGCUUUCGCCUGUGACGAAGCGUGAGUGACGGUAAUGGGUAAAGAAGCACCGGCUAACUACGUG
This 468-nucleotide ribosomal RNA is filed under the name uncultured bacterium. RNAcentral describes it as "partial 16S ribosomal RNA". It matches the Rfam family "Bacterial small subunit ribosomal RNA", at positions 28 to 507 of the family's 1533-position model. The record is from RNAcentral.